RNAcentral lists this transfer RNA (60 nucleotides) under Scutigera coleoptrata (house centipede). Its description in RNAcentral is "transfer RNA-His(CAC)". The record is from RNAcentral. Lineage: Eukaryota; Metazoa; Arthropoda; Chilopoda; Scutigeromorpha; Scutigeridae.
GCUUAGAUAGUUUAGUUAAAAUUUCAAUUUGUGGAAUUGAAGACGCGUUUGCUCUGGGUA